AGCGGCCAUAGGAGCGGGGCAACACCCGAACCCAUCUCGAACUCGGCAGUUAAUCCUGCUCACGAUUGGCUCGUUACUGCGAUCUCGCGGGAAGACCGAUUGCUGCUGGCA
RNAcentral lists this ribosomal RNA (111 nucleotides) under Candidatus Micrarchaeota archaeon CG10_big_fil_rev_8_21_14_0_10_45_29. Lineage: Archaea; Nanobdellati; Microcaldota. The record is from RNAcentral.